Molecule: non-coding RNA, 44 nt
Filed under: Entomoneis paludosa
Lineage: Eukaryota; Bacillariophyta; Bacillariophyceae; Surirellales; Surirellaceae
Source: RNAcentral
UUUCAUUUUAUUUCAUUUUGUUUUUGUUUUUUUUGCUUUUUUCG